RNAcentral lists this ribosomal RNA (492 nucleotides) under uncultured bacterium. RNAcentral's name for it is "partial 16S ribosomal RNA". It matches the Rfam family "Bacterial small subunit ribosomal RNA", at positions 29 to 507 of the family's 1533-position model. The record is from RNAcentral.
AGUGAACGCUGGCGGUAGGCCUAACACAUGCAAGUCGAACGGCAGCACAGUAAGAGCUUGCUCUUACGGGUGGCGAGUGGCGGACGGGUGAGGAAUACAUCGGAAUCUACUUUUUCGUGGGGGAUAACGUAGGGAAACGUACGCUAAUACCGCAUACGACCUACGGGUGAAAGCAGGGGAUCUUCGGACCUUGCGCGAUUGAAUGAGCCGAUGUCGGAUUAGCUAGUUGGCGGGGUAAAGGCCCACCACGGCGACGAUCCGUAGCUGGUCUGAGAGGAUGAUCAGACACACUGGAACUGAGACACGGUCCAGACUCCUACGGGAGGAAGCAGUGGGGAAUAUUGGACAAUGGGCGAAAGCCUGAUCCAGCCAUACCGCGUGAGUGAAGAAGGCCUUCGGGUUGUAAAGCCCUGUUGUUGGGAAAGAAAAGCAGCAGGUUAAUACCCCGCUGUUCUGACGGUACCCAAAGAAUAAGCACCGGCUAACUUCGUG